UUUCUAAAUUUGUAUAUUUUCAAAAGGGCAAUUAUUGAUGUGUUUAACGUAAACUAUAUAGGUGUGAUUGUAAUGGGAUAUGUAUUAUAAAAUAUAACCGAUAUAAACGCAUUGUAAAUCUGUUGUUUUUUUUUAAACUGCAAAUAAGUAAAAGUGUUUACAUAGCUCGGAAUCAAGGUCCAGAUCAAGCACCGUUAGAUAUUACAUAUUGCUAGGUAGUAGACGGCAUUCAAAUGUUACAUGCAUGUGCAGUUAUGUUUACAGUUAAUUUGCGCACCAAUCUAGCGAAUUGCAUUUAACUGUACUUUCCAUCGAGAUAUAUAGUAACUGAGAAACAGAGAAUGCUGUUAUUGUUGGCCUUCUGCAGAGAACAGAACUACGGCCUAUCGACAAGCAUAAUUAUGUUGGAAAAGUUAAGUGCCAUACACAACUACGACUUAAGAACAAUCGAGUGUUUCAAAAUUUUCGGCCCACCCAAAGAUUUCCAACAUGAUGAACCGAGCAGCGAUUGCGAAAUUGUGAUUUAUAAUAUACCAAUUGAUGAGUCUGAGGAUAUCUUAGUGGCCACUCUACUAGCUUUCAGCAAUUUGUACUACCUGAAGAUAGUGAUCAGCAAAGAUGGUAGGCACAGGGGCAUUGCUUUCGCGAAAUUCUCGAACGCGUCCGAAGCAAGAAAGGCGAUCAAAAAGUUGGAAACUACUAUGAUUUACACACACAACAAUUUGCAUGCCAAACCCUGUGAUACGUGCAACACGAACUUGUAUAUCGGUAUUUAUUUUUGUUAAUCAUCUUGAACUUCGUGAUUGAUAUUUAGAUUUUAGGUAAUAUAAAUAUAAAUAGGAACUCGUUACAUAAAAUGGAACAGAUUAUACUGAAACUAGUUCACGGAUUGGAAUCUUUCGUAGUAUAUUCGCUGAAUAAGUUCAAUAGGUAUAUAAUUUCUUUAAUAUUUUAUACAGUGCAAGAUCUGCUGUUAUCUAUUCAUGACAUUUGCAAAUGUGAUAUUUUUAUACAAUCUCCGGAAAUACUCAUCAGCACCGUACCACCAGUUGCAAGGCUAGCAGAAUCCAUGCCAAUCUGCAAAUACAUUUACAAAAGGCAAGCGGACUGCAAAUACGAGUGGCCCGAAGAAAUUUAUAUUUCGCCUAAA
Molecule: RNA transcript, 1150 nt
Organism: Nicrophorus vespilloides
Lineage: Eukaryota; Metazoa; Arthropoda; Insecta; Coleoptera; Silphidae
Gene name: RNA-binding protein 47-like
Exons: 3
Source: RefSeq, a predicted model, not a curated record